RNAcentral lists this ribosomal RNA (280 nucleotides) under uncultured Loktanella sp. RNAcentral describes it as "partial 16S ribosomal RNA". It matches the Rfam family "Bacterial small subunit ribosomal RNA", at positions 46 to 353 of the family's 1533-position model. Lineage: Bacteria; Pseudomonadati; Pseudomonadota; Alphaproteobacteria; Rhodobacterales; Roseobacteraceae. The record is from RNAcentral.
GGCCUAACACAUGCAAGUCGAACGCACUCUUCGGAGUGAGCGGCGGACGGGUUAGUAACGCGUGGGAACAUACCCUUCUCUACGGAAUAGCCUUUGGAAACUGAGAGUAAUACCAUAUACGCCCUUCGGGGGAAAGAUUUAUCGGAGAUGGAUUGGCCCGUGUUAGAUUAGAUAGUUGGUGGGGUAAUGGCCUACCAAGUCUACUAUCUAUAGCUGGUUUGAGAGGAUGAUCAGCCACACUGGGACUGAGACACGGCCCAGACUCCUACGGGAGGCAACA